GACGUACGCUGGCGGCGUGCUUAACACAUGCAAGUCGAACGAUGAAGCUAGAGCUUGCUCUGGUGAAUUAGUGGCGAACGGGUGAGUAACACGUGAGUAACCUGCCCCGAACUCUGGGAUAACUGCUGGAAACGGUAGCUAAUACUGGAUACGACCUACGAAGGCAUCUUCUGUAGGUGGAAAGAAUUUCGGUUCGGGAUGGACUCGCGGCCUAUCAGCUUGUUGGUGAGGUAAUGGCUCACCAAGGCGACGACGGGUAGCCGGCCUGAGAGGGGAACCGGCCACACUGGGACUGAGACACGGCCCAGACUCCUACGGGGGGCAGCAGUGGGGAAUAUUGCACAAUGGGCGCAAGCCUGAUGCAGCAACGCCGCGUGAGGGAUGACGGCCUUCGGGUUGUAAACCUCUUUUAGUAGGGAAGAAGCGAAAGUGACGGUACCUGCAGAAAAAGCACCGGCUAACUACGUGCCAGCAGCCGCCGUAA
Molecule: ribosomal RNA, 484 nt
Filed under: uncultured bacterium
Lineage: Bacteria
Description: partial 16S ribosomal RNA
Rfam family: Bacterial small subunit ribosomal RNA
Source: RNAcentral